Molecule: ribosomal RNA, 199 nt
Filed under: uncultured bacterium
Lineage: Bacteria
Description: partial 16S ribosomal RNA
Rfam family: Bacterial small subunit ribosomal RNA
Source: RNAcentral
ACGCUCGACACCUACGGGAGGUAGCAGUCGGGAAUAUUGCGCAAUGGAGGAAACUCUGACGCAGUGACGCCGCGUGCAGGAAGAAGGUUUUCGGAUUGUAAACUGCUUUAGACAGGGAAGAAAAAAGACAGUACCUGUAGAAUAAGCUCCGGCUAACUACGUGUCAGCAGCCGCGGUAAUCUGAGCGGGCUGGCAAGGC